UGCAAGUCGAACGAAGUAGCAAUACUUAGUGGCAGACGGGUGAGUAACAUGUAGGUAUCUACCCUUUGGCCUGGAAUAACACGAGGAAACUUGUGCUAAUACUGGAUAAGUCUUUACGGAGAAAGCUUUAUGCACCAUUGGAUGAGCCUGCACUUGAUUAGUUUGUUGGUAGGGUAAUGGCCUACCAAGACUUUGAUCAAUAGCUGAUUUGAGAGGAUGAUCAGCCACAUUGGGACUGAGACACGGCCCAAACUCCUACGGGAGGCAGCAGUGGGGAAUCUUGCACAAUGGAGGAAACUCUGAUGCAGCGAUGCCGCGUGAGUGAAGAAGGCCCUUGGGUUGUAAAGCUCUUUCGUCGGGGAAGAAAAUGACUGUACCCGAAUAAGAAGGUCCGGCUAACUUCGUGCCAGCAGCCGCGGUAAUACGAAGGGACCUAGCGUAGUUCGGAUUUACUGGGCUUAAAGAGUUCGUAGGUGGUUGAAAAAGUUGGUGGUGAAAUCCCAGAGCUUAACUCUGGAACUGCCAUCAAAACUUUUCAGCUAGAGUUUGAUAGAGGAAAGCAGAAUUUCUAGUGUAGAGGUGAAAUUCGUAGAUAUUAGAAAGAAUACCAAUUGCGAAGGCAGCUUUCUGGAUCAUUACUGACACUGAGGAACGAAAGCAUGGGUAGCGAAGAGGAUUAGAUACCCUCGUAGUCCAUGCCGUAAACGAUGUGUGUUAGACGUUGGGAAUUUAUUUUCAGUGUCGCAGCGAAAGCGAUAAACACACCGCCUGGGGAGUACGACCGCAAGGUUAAAACUCAAAUGAAUUGACGGGGACCCGCACAAGUAGUGAGCAUGUGGUUUAAUUCGAGAUACGCGCAGAACCUUACCACACUUGACAUGUUCGUCGCGACUUUA
Molecule: ribosomal RNA, 896 nt
Filed under: uncultured marine bacterium
Lineage: Bacteria
Description: bacterial SSU rRNA
Rfam family: Bacterial small subunit ribosomal RNA
Source: RNAcentral